Molecule: ribosomal RNA, 495 nt
Filed under: uncultured bacterium
Lineage: Bacteria
Description: partial 16S ribosomal RNA
Rfam family: Bacterial small subunit ribosomal RNA
Source: RNAcentral
GACGAACGCUGGCGGCGUGCCUAAUACAUGCAAGUAGAACGCUGAAGGAGGAGCUUGCUUCUCCGGAUGAGUUGCGAACGGGUGAGUAACGCGUAGGUAACCUGCCUGGUAGCGGGGGAUAACUAUUGGAAACGAUAGCUAAUACCGCAUAAGAGUAGAUGUCGCAUGACAUUUGCUUAAAAGGUGCAACUGCACCACUACCAGAUGGACCUGCGUUGUAUUAGCUAGUUGGUGAGGUAACGGCUCACCAAGGCAACGAUACAUAGCCGACCUGAGAGGGUGAUCGGCCACACUGGGACUGAGACACGGCCCAGACUCCUACGGGAGGCAGCAGUAGGGAAUCUUCGGCAAUGGACGGAAGUCUGACCGAGCAACGCCGCGGGAGUGAAGAAGGUUUUCGGAUCGUAAAGAUCUGUUGUAAGAGAAGAACGAGUGUGAGAGUGGAAAGUUCACACUGUGACGGUAUCUUACCAGAAAGGGACGGCUAGCUACGUG